RNAcentral lists this ribosomal RNA (206 nucleotides) under uncultured bacterium. RNAcentral describes it as "partial 16S ribosomal RNA". It matches the Rfam family "Bacterial small subunit ribosomal RNA", at positions 568 to 774 of the family's 1533-position model. The record is from RNAcentral.
UGCGUAGGUGGUUUCUUAAGUCAGAGGUGAAAGGCUACGGCUCAACCGUAGUAAGCCUUUGAAACUGGGAAACUUGAGUGCAAGAGAGGAGAGUGGAAUUCCAGAAGUAGGGGUAAAAUCCGUAGAUCUCUGGAGGAACACCGAACGCGAAGGUAUUCUGCUGGGCACUCACUGACGCUAAGGGACGAAAGCGUGGGUAGCGAACG